This 627-nucleotide ribosomal RNA is filed under the name uncultured Russulaceae. Its description in RNAcentral is "LSU rRNA". It matches the Rfam family "Eukaryotic large subunit ribosomal RNA", at positions 47 to 649 of the family's 3401-position model. Lineage: Eukaryota; Fungi; Basidiomycota; Agaricomycetes; Russulales; Russulaceae. The record is from RNAcentral.
UAAGCGGAGGAAAAGAAACUAACAAGGAUUCCCCUAGUAACUGCGAGUGAAGCGGGAAAAGCUCAAAUUUAAAAUCUGGCGGUCUUUGGCCGUCCGAGUUGUAAUUUAGAGAAGCGUCUUCCGCGCCGGACCGUGCACAAGUCUCCUGGAAUGGAGCGUCAUAGAGGGUGAGAAUCCCGUCUUUGGCACGGAUGCCUGGUGCUUCUGUGAUGCGCUCUCGAAGAGUCGAGUUGUUUGGGAAUGCAGCUCAAAAUGGGUGGUGAACUCCAUCUAAAGCUAAAUAUUGGCGAGAGACCGAUAGCGAACAAGUACCGUGAGGGAAAGAUGAAAAGCACUUUGGAAAGAGAGUGAAACAGUACGUGAAAUUGUUGAAAGGGAAACGCUUGAAGUCAGUCGCGUCGACCGAGACUCAGCCUUGCCUCGGCUUGGUGUACUUCUCGGCCCGACGGGUCAGCGUCAAUUUUGCCCCUCGGAUAAUGGCAAGGGAAAGGUGGCACCUUUACGGGUGUGUUAUAGUCUCCUGUCGCAUGCGAGGGGUGGGAUUGAGGAACUCAGCGCGCACCUUGGUGUCGGGGCUUCGGCCCACGUCACGCGCUUAGGAUGCUGGCGUAAUGGCUUUAAACGACC